Molecule: transfer-messenger RNA, 363 nt
Filed under: Escherichia coli
Lineage: Bacteria; Pseudomonadati; Pseudomonadota; Gammaproteobacteria; Enterobacterales; Enterobacteriaceae
Also listed under: 1 other name
Description: Standard tmRNA
Rfam family: transfer-messenger RNA
About the family: Bacterial tmRNA, also known as 10Sa RNA or SsrA, is named for its dual tRNA and mRNA-like properties. Its role is to liberate the mRNA from a stalled ribosome.
Source: RNAcentral
GGGGCUGAUUCUGGAUUCGACGGGAUUUACGAAACCCAAGGUGCAUGCCGAGGGGCGGUUGGCCUCGUAAAAAGCCGCAAAAAAUAGUCGCAAACGACGAAAACUACGCUUUAGCAGCUUAAUAACCUGCUUAGAGCCCUCUCUCCCUAGCCUCCGCUCUUAGGACGGGGAUCAAGAGAGGUCAAACCCAAAAGAGAUCGCGUGGAAGCCCUGCCUGGGGUUGAAGCGUUAAAACUUAAUCAGGCUAGUUUGUUAGUGGCGUGUCCGUCCGCAGCUGGCAAGCGAAUGUAAAGACUGACUAAGCAUGUAGUACCGAGGAUGUAGGAAUUUCGGACGCGGGUUCAACUCCCGCCAGCUCCACCA